GCUGUGAUGGCCGAGUGGUGAAGGCGUUGGACUUGAAAUCCAGUGGGGUUUCCCCGCGCAGGUUCAAAUCCUGCUCACAGCG
This 82-nucleotide transfer RNA is filed under the name Pterocles gutturalis (yellow-throated sandgrouse). It matches the Rfam family "tRNA". From Rfam's summary of the family: Transfer RNA (tRNA) molecules are approximately 80 nucleotides in length. Their secondary structure includes four short double-helical elements and three loops (D, anti-codon, and T loops). Further hydrogen bonds mediate the characteristic L-shaped molecular structure. tRNAs have two regions of fundamental functional importance: the anti-codon, which is responsible for specific mRNA codon recognition, and the 3' end, to which the tRNAs corresponding amino acid is attached (by aminoacyl-tRNA synthetases). tRNAs cope with the degeneracy of the genetic code in two manners: having more than one tRNA (with a specific anti-codon) for a particular amino acid; and 'wobble' base-pairing, i.e. permitting non-standard base-pairing at the 3rd anti-codon position. Lineage: Eukaryota; Metazoa; Chordata; Aves; Pterocliformes; Pteroclidae. The record is from Rfam by way of RNAcentral.